Molecule: ribosomal RNA, 531 nt
Filed under: uncultured bacterium
Lineage: Bacteria
Description: bacterial SSU rRNA
Rfam family: Bacterial small subunit ribosomal RNA
Source: RNAcentral
AAUAGAUACCCAGGUAGUCCACGCCGUAAACGAUGAGUGCUAAGUGUUAGAGGGUUUCCGCCCUUUAGUGCUGCAGCUAACGCAUUAAACACUCCGCCUGGGGAGUACGGUCGCAAGACUGAAACUCAAAGGAAUUGACGGGGGCCCGCACAAGCGGUGGAGCAUGUGGUUUAAUUCGAAGCAACGCGAAGAACCUUACCAGGUCUUGACAUCUCACUGACCGGUAUAGAGAUAUACCUUUCCCUUCGGGGACAGUGGUGACAGGUGGUGCAUGGUUGUCGUCAGCUCGUGUCGUGAGAUGUUGGGUUAAGUCCCGCAACGAGCGCAACCCUUGAUCUUAGUUGCCAGCAUUUAGUUGGGCACUCUAAGGUGACUGCCGGUGACAAACCGGAGGAAGGUGGGGAUGACGUCAAAUCAUCAUGCCCCUUAUGACCUGGGCUACACACGUGCUACAAUGGAUGGUACAAAGGGCUGCAAGACUGCGAAGUCAAGCCAAAUCCCAUAAAAACCAUUCUCAGUUCGGAUUGCAGG